UUUUUCAUAGAUUCAUCAUCAUUCAAAGAUGUUAAGAAAAUAUUUUUGCAUUUUUUGAAUAUUGGAAACUAUUUUAAAUGAAUUAAAAAUAACCAGAAAAGAGAAAAUUCACAAAAAAUAUUAAAUGUCAUCAUAAAAAAUAUUAAAAAUCAUUUUCAGAAACUAGAAUUAAAAAGGGAAAUAAUGCAAUUGGUCCCAUAUUUUUUGGAUAUAAAAUGAAAGAAUUAUGAAGUUUUG
RNAcentral lists this long non-coding RNA (237 nucleotides) under Lathyrus oleraceus (garden pea). RNAcentral's name for it is "Pisum sativum (pea) long non-coding RNA (PSAT_LNC030760)". The record is from RNAcentral. Lineage: Eukaryota; Viridiplantae; Streptophyta; Magnoliopsida; Fabales; Fabaceae.